UUGGUUAAGUUAGAAAGGGCGCACGGUGGAUGCCUUGGCACUAGGAGCCGAAGAAGGACGGGACUAACACCGAUAUGCUUUGGGGAGCUGUACGUAAGCGUUGAUCCAGAGAUUUCCGAAUGGGGGAACCCACUAUCUUUAGUCGGAUAGUAUCCUUACGUGAAUACAUAGCGUAAGGAAGGCAGACCCAGGGAACUGAAACAUCUAAGUACCUGGAGGAAGAGAAAGAAAAAUCGAUUUCCUGAGUAGCGGCGAGCGAAACGGAAAGAGCCCAAACCAAGAAGCUUGCUUCUUGGGGUUGUAGGACACUCUAUACGGAGUUACAAAAGAAAGUUAUAAAUGAAGCGGUCUGGAAAGGCCCGCCAAAGACGGUAACAGCCCGGUAGUUGAAAUGGCUUUCCCUCCAGAGUGGAUCCUGAGUACGGCGGAACACGUGAAAUUCCGUCGGAAUCCGGGAGGACCAUCUCCCAAGGCUAAAUACUCCCUAGUGACCGAUAGUGAACCAGUACCGUGAGGGAAAGGUGAAAAGCACCCCGGAAGGGGAGUGAAACAGUUCCUGAAACCGUGUGCCUACAAGUAGUUAGAGCCCGUUAAUGGGUGAUAGCGUGCCUUUUGUAGAAUGAACCGGCGAGUUACGAUUUGUUGCAAGGUUAAGCGGAAAAAGCGGAGCCGUAGCGAAAGCGAGUCUGAAUAGGGCGCAUAAGUAACAGGUCGUAGACCCGAAACCAGGUGAUCUACCCAUGUCCAGGAUGAAGGUAAGGUAAUACUUACUGGAGGUCCGAACCCACGCACGUUGAAAAGUGCGGGGAUGAGGUGUGGGUAGCGGAGAAAUUCCAAUCGAACUUGGAGAUAGCUGGUUCUCUCCGAAAUAGCUUUAGGGCUAGCCUCGAGGUAAAGAGUCAUGGAGGUAGAGCACUGUUUGGACUAGGGGCCCUUCUCGGGUUACCGAAUUCAGAUAAACUCCGAAUGCCAUGUACUUAUACUCGGGAGUCAGACUGCGAGUGAUAAGAUCCGUAGUCGAAAGGGAAACAGCCCAGACCACCAGUUAAGGUCCCCAAAUAUAUGUUAAGUGGAAAAGGAUGUGGGGUUGCUUAGACAACCAGGAUGUUGGCUUAGAAGCAGCCACCAUUGAAAGAGUGCGUAAUAGCUCACUGGUCGAGUGACCCCGCGCCGAAAAUGUACCGGGGCUAAACAUAUUACCGAAACUGUGGAUGAACCUCUUCGGAGGUUCGUGGUAGGAGAGCGUUCUAAGGGCGGUGAAGUCAGACCGGAAGGACUGGUGGAGCGCUUAGAAGUGAGAAUGCCGGUAUGAGUAGCGAAAGAAGGGUGAGAAUCCCUUCCACCGAAUAUCUAAGGUUUCCUGAGGAAGGCUCGUCCGCUCAGGGUUAGUCGGGACCUAAGCCGAGGCCGAUAGGCGUAGGCGAUGGACAACAGGUAGAGAUUCCUGUACCAGUGCUAAUUGUUUAACCGAUGGGGUGACACAGAAGGAUAGGGAAUCGCACGAAUGGAAAUGUGCGUCCAAGCAGUGAGUGUGA
Molecule: ribosomal RNA, 1535 nt
Filed under: Listeria monocytogenes
Lineage: Bacteria; Bacillati; Bacillota; Bacilli; Caryophanales; Listeriaceae
Description: bacterial LSU rRNA
Rfam family: Bacterial large subunit ribosomal RNA
Source: RNAcentral